GGAGGGCGGAUGGAAUGUUGAUCUUUUGUGCAAAGGAGGUGGAGUUCAAAAUGAAGAAGUCUUGCUAUAAUUGUAGAGCAAGUCCAGGCAAAUCCUGGACUUACACGCUGGUGCCUAAAUGCAGUUCAAAUAGCUAAAGCGAGACACAAGACACUGCAGGUGCUUGAAUCUUGAGCCAAAAACAAACUGCUGGAGGAACGCAGUGGGUCAGGCAGCAUCUGUGGAGGGAAAUAGACAGGUGACCUUUGAGUCUGGACCUUUCUUCCUUCAAGAUUGGAGCAGAAGUAGCUGGGAGAAAUAAUUUAGUGGAAGGGGUGGGGCAAGAGCUGGCAAGUGAUAUGUGGAUCCAGAGGGUUGAAUAUCACGUUCAUGUGAAAAUGAUCCAUGUUGGAUCUGCAGAUGAGAUGCAAGAUGGUUCAAGUUGCUGGUGGACAGAGGGGCAGGGUACGGCCCACACCUGCAUCACACACGGCAACACACAGAGCCACCUCGCGCCUCCCGACUAGAUUCUUUUCUGUAAUCGAGACAGAAAGCUCCUCCAACAUGCCCAGUUUCUGUUCACCCGCUGAGUUACUCCAGCUUUUUGUGCCCAUCGUUGUUGAUACUCACCUUGUCUGGGAGCUCCCCCCAAGUUCCUGAUGUAUGCCCGGGAUCCUCCACAGCCAUUUUCUCAGCAACUUCAAGUGAUCGGACUUGACAGUAAAUGGAACGAAGGAUUGAUCAGAUCUGCUGACAAAGAAUAUGACUUUGUUUUUGCUGUCAUUAAAGUUGGCAAUCCUAGCCAGU
This is a long non-coding RNA of Leucoraja erinaceus (little skate), 786 nucleotides long. RefSeq lists it as uncharacterized. NCBI's taxonomy places the organism in Eukaryota, Metazoa, Chordata, Chondrichthyes, Rajiformes, Rajidae. The record is from RefSeq and is a predicted model, not a curated record. The transcript has 2 exons.